UGGAGUCUGCAACCCGACUCCAUGAAGCUGGAUUCGCUAGUAAUCGCGCAUCAGCCACGGCGCGGUGAAUACGUUCCCGGGCCUUGUACACACCGCCCGUCAAGCCAUGGAAGCCGGGAGUGCCUGAAGUGCGUGAGCGCAAGCAGCGCCCUAAGGUAAAACCGGUGACUGGGGCUAAGUCGUAACAAGGUAAC
RNAcentral lists this ribosomal RNA (194 nucleotides) under uncultured bacterium. RNAcentral's name for it is "partial 16S ribosomal RNA". It matches the Rfam family "Bacterial small subunit ribosomal RNA", at positions 1299 to 1500 of the family's 1533-position model. The record is from RNAcentral.